AGUGAACGCUGGCGGUAGGCCUAACACAUGCAAGUCGAACGGCAGCACAGUAAGAGCUUGCUCUUACGGGUGGCGAGUGGCGGACGGGUGAGGAAUACAUCGGAAUCUACUUUUUCGUGGGGGAUAACGUAGGUAAACUUACGCUAAUACCGCAUACGACCUACGGUUGAAAGCAGGGGAUUUUCGGACCUUGCGCGAUUGAAUGAGCCGAUGUCGGAUUAGCUAGUUGGCGGGGUAAAGGCCCACCAAGGCGACGAACCGUAGCUGGUCUGAGAGGAUGAUCAGCCACACUGGAACUGAGACACGGUCCAGACUCCUACGGGAGGCAGCAGUGGGGAAUAUUGGACAAUGGGCGCAAGCAUGACCCAGCCAUACCGCGUGGGUGACGAAGGCCUUCGGGUUGUAAAGCCCUUUUGUUGGGAAAGAAAAGCAGCAGGUUAAUACCCCGCUGUUCUGACGGUACCCAAAGAAUAAGCACCGGCUAACUUCGUG
Molecule: ribosomal RNA, 492 nt
Filed under: uncultured bacterium
Lineage: Bacteria
Description: partial 16S ribosomal RNA
Rfam family: Bacterial small subunit ribosomal RNA
Source: RNAcentral